UUCAAAACGGCUCAAUCAUAAGAUAAGUUCAACUCUGAGAGUUGAAUUCACACAACACAAAGAAGUUUCUCAGAAUGCUUCUGUGUAGUUUUUAUGUGAAGAUAUUUCCUUUUCCACCAUAGGCCGCAAAGGGCUCCAAAUAUCCACUUGCAGAUCUACAAAAAGAGAGAUUCAAAACUGCUCAAUCAAAAGAUAAGUUCAACAAUGUGAGUUGAAUGCACACAUCACAAAGA
RNAcentral lists this long non-coding RNA (233 nucleotides) under Homo sapiens (human). RNAcentral's name for it is "HSALNT0326432". Lineage: Eukaryota; Metazoa; Chordata; Mammalia; Primates; Hominidae. The record is from RNAcentral.